CUUUCAUGAAAGUGGCGUACGGGUGCCCAGCGCGUAUGCUACCUACCUUUUUCAUGGGGAUUGCCCGAAUAAAUUCUUAUUAACACCGCAUUAAAACACAGCUUGGCAUCAAGCAAUGUUCAAAUAUUUAUAGGAUGAAGGUGGGCAUGCGUGUCAUUAUCUAGUUGGUAAGGUAACGGCUUACCAAGGCUACGAUGACUAGGGGAUCUGAGAGGAUGACCCCCCACACUGGUACUGAGACACGGACCAUACUCCUACGGGAGGCAGCAGUAAGGAAUAUUGGUCAAUGGAGGCAACUCUGAACCAGCCAUGCCGCGUGCAGGAAGACUGCCUUAUGGGUUGUAAACUGCUUUUAUACGGGAAUAAACCUUAAUUCGUGAAUUAAGCUGAAUGUACCGUAAGAAUAAGGAUCGGCUAACUCCGUGCCAGCAGCCGCGGUAAUACGGAGGAUCCAAGCGUUAUCCGGAUUUAUUGGGUUUAAAGGGAGCGUAGGCGGCUUGUUAAGUCAGGGGUGAAAGACGGUGGCUCAACCAUCGCAGUGCCUUUGAUACUGACGAGCUUGAAUAUAGUUGAGGUAGGCGGAAUGUGACAAGUAGCGGUGAAAUGCAUAGAUAUGUCACAGAACACCGAUUGCGAAGGCAGCUUACUAAGCUAUUAUUGACGCUGAUGCUCGAAAGCGUGGGGAUCAAACAGGAUUAGAUACCCUGGUAGUCCACGCCCUAAACGAUGAUAACUCGAUGUUGGCGAUAUACAGUCAGCGUCCAAGCGAAAGCGUUAAGUUAUCCACCUGGGGUAGUACGCCCUCAAGGGUGAAACUCAAAGGAAUUGACGG
Molecule: ribosomal RNA, 832 nt
Filed under: uncultured bacterium
Lineage: Bacteria
Description: bacterial SSU rRNA
Rfam family: Bacterial small subunit ribosomal RNA
Source: RNAcentral